Molecule: ribosomal RNA, 550 nt
Filed under: uncultured bacterium
Lineage: Bacteria
Description: bacterial SSU rRNA
Rfam family: Bacterial small subunit ribosomal RNA
Source: RNAcentral
UAGGGAAUNUUCGGCAAUGGACGGAAGUCUGACCGAGCAACGCCGCGUGAGUGAAGAAGGUUUUCGGAUCGUAAAGCUCUGUUGUUAGAGAAGAACGUUGGUAGGAGUGGAAAAUGUAUCAAGUGACGGUAACUAACCAGAAAGGGACGGCUAACUACGUGCCAGCAGCCGCGGUAAUACGUAGGUCCCGAGCGUUGUCCGGAUUUAUUGGGCGUAAAGCGAGCGCAGGCGGUUCUUUAAGUNUGAAGUUAAAGGCAGUGGCUUAACCAUUGUACGCUUUGGAAACUGGAGGACUUGAGUGCAGAAGGGGAGAGUGGAAUUCCAUGUGUAGCGGUGAAAUGCGUAGAUAUAUGGAGGAACCCCGGUGGCGAAAGCGGCUCUCUGGUCUGUAACUGACGCUGAGGCUCGAAAGCGUGGGGAGCAAACAGGAUUAGAUACCCUGGUAGUCCACGCCGUAAACGAUGAGUGCUAGGUGUUAGGCCCUUUCCGGGGCUUAGUGCCGCAGCUAACGCAUUAAUCACUCCGCCUGGGGAGCACGACCGCAAGGUUG